CCCUUAGAUGUUCUGGGCCGCACGCGCGCUACACUGAUGCAUUCAACAAGCCUAGCCUUGACCGAGAGGUCCGGGUAAUCUUUGAAACUGCAUCGUGAUGGGGCUAGAUUAUUGCAAUUAUUAAUCUUCAACGAGGAAUGCCUAGUAAGCGUGAUUCAUCAAAUCGCGUUGAUUACGUCCCUGCCCUUUGUACACACCGCCCGUCGCUCCUACCGAUUGAAUGUGUUGGUGAGGCUUUGGGAUCUGAGCGGAAAGAGCGUUUCGCUGUUUCUGCUCGGAAAACUCAGUCGAACCUUAUCAUUUAGAGGAAGGAGAAGUCGUAACA
RNAcentral lists this ribosomal RNA (325 nucleotides) under uncultured eukaryote. RNAcentral's name for it is "partial 18S ribosomal RNA". It matches the Rfam family "Eukaryotic small subunit ribosomal RNA", at positions 1470 to 1796 of the family's 1831-position model. The record is from RNAcentral.